RNAcentral lists this transfer RNA (72 nucleotides) under Ornithorhynchus anatinus (platypus). It matches the Rfam family "tRNA". Rfam says of the family: Transfer RNA (tRNA) molecules are approximately 80 nucleotides in length. Their secondary structure includes four short double-helical elements and three loops (D, anti-codon, and T loops). Further hydrogen bonds mediate the characteristic L-shaped molecular structure. tRNAs have two regions of fundamental functional importance: the anti-codon, which is responsible for specific mRNA codon recognition, and the 3' end, to which the tRNAs corresponding amino acid is attached (by aminoacyl-tRNA synthetases). tRNAs cope with the degeneracy of the genetic code in two manners: having more than one tRNA (with a specific anti-codon) for a particular amino acid; and 'wobble' base-pairing, i.e. permitting non-standard base-pairing at the 3rd anti-codon position. The record is from Rfam by way of RNAcentral. Lineage: Eukaryota; Metazoa; Chordata; Mammalia; Monotremata; Ornithorhynchidae.
GGCAGCAUGGCUCAGUGGAAAGAGCACGGGCUUGGGAGUCAGAGGUCAUGGGUUCAAAUCCCGGCUCUGCCA